This 253-nucleotide ribosomal RNA is filed under the name uncultured bacterium. RNAcentral's name for it is "partial 16S ribosomal RNA". It matches the Rfam family "Bacterial small subunit ribosomal RNA", at positions 524 to 776 of the family's 1533-position model. RNAcentral also lists the same sequence under 1 other name. The record is from RNAcentral.
GACGAAGGAUCCAAGCGUUAUCCGGAUUCAUUGGGUUUAAAGGGUGCGUAGGCGGAUUUGUAAGUCAGUGGUGAAAGCCGAUAGCUCAACUAUCGAACUGCCAUUGAUACUGCAGAUCUAGAAUAUAGAUGAUGUUGGCGGAAUAUGACAUGUAGCGGUGAAAUGCAUAGAUAUGUCAUAGAACACCGAUUGCGAAGGCAGCUGACAAAACUAUUAUUGACGCUGAUGCACGAAAGUGCGGGGAUCAAACAGG